CACGUAGGGCGCAAGCGUUGUCCGGAAUUAUUGGGCGUAAAGAGCUCGUAGGUGGUUUGUUACGUCCGCUGUGAAAUCCUAGGGCUUAACCCUGGGCUUGCAGUGGAUACGGGCAGACUAGAGGUAGGUAGGGGAGAAUGGAAUUCCUGGUGUAGCGGUGAAAUGCGCAGAUAUCAGGAGGAACACCAAUUGCGAAGGCAGCUCGCUGGGACGUGACUGACGCUGAGACGCGAAAGCGUGGGGAGCAAACAGG
This 253-nucleotide ribosomal RNA is filed under the name uncultured bacterium. RNAcentral's name for it is "partial 16S ribosomal RNA". It matches the Rfam family "Bacterial small subunit ribosomal RNA", at positions 524 to 776 of the family's 1533-position model. The record is from RNAcentral.